AACGAACGCUGGCGGCAUGCCUAACACAUGCAAGUCGAACGAGACCUUCGGGUCUGGUGGCGCACGGGUGCGUAACGCGGGGGAACCUGCCCGUAGGUUCGGAAUAACUCCCCGAAAGGGGUGCUAAUACCGGAUAAUAUCUUCGGACCAAAGAGUUGACGCCUUGGGAUGGGCGAGCGUUGGAUAAGCUAGUUGGUAGGGUAAAAGCCUACGAAGGCGAGGAUCCAUAGCUGGUCUGAGAGGAAGAUCCGCGACACUGGGGCUGAGACACGGCCCAGACUCUUAGGGAAUGGAGGAGUGGGGGAUCCAGGACAGCCGCGGACAGGCUGAUGCAGCUCUGCCGGGUGAGUGCUGAAGGACUGAGGGAAGAAACGCUCUUUUAUCCGGGGUGAAAAUGACGGUACCGGAAGAAUAAGCUCCGGCUAACUACGUG
RNAcentral lists this ribosomal RNA (433 nucleotides) under uncultured bacterium. Its description in RNAcentral is "partial 16S ribosomal RNA". It matches the Rfam family "Bacterial small subunit ribosomal RNA", at positions 29 to 507 of the family's 1533-position model. The record is from RNAcentral.